GAUGAACGCUGGCGGUCUGCUUAACACAUGCAAGUCGAACGCAACCUUCGGGUUGAGUGGCGGACGGGUGAGUAACGCGUGAGAAUCUGCCUUGGGGUCGGGGACAACCACUGGAAACGGUGGCUAAUACCGGAUAAGCCUUUGGGUAAAAAAUUUAUUGCCCCAAGAGGAGCUCGCGUCUGAUUAGCUAGUUGGUGAGGUAAAAGCUCACCAAGGCAGCGAUCAGUAGCUGGUCUGAGAGGACGAUCAGCCACACUGGGACUGAGACACGGCCCAGACUCCUACGGGAGGCAGCAGUGGGGAAUUUUCCGCAAUGGGCGAAAGCCCUGACGGAGCAAGACCGCGUGAGGGAGGAAGGCUCUUGGCUUGUAAACCUCUUUUCUCAGGGAAGAAGCUCUGACGGUACCUGAGGAAUCAGCCUCGGCUAACUCCGUGCCAGCAGCCGCGGUAAUACGGAGGAGGCAAGCGUUAUCCGGAAUUAUUGGGCGUAAAGCGUCCGCAGGUGGCGAUUCAAGUCUGCUGUCAAAGCACGGGGCUUAACUCCGUUAAGGCAGUGGAAACUGAAUAGCUAGAGUGCCGUAGGGGUAGAGGGAAUUCCCGGUGUAGCGGUGAAAUGCGUAGAGAUCGGGAAGAACAUCGGUGGCGAAAGCGCUCUACUGGACGGCAACUGACACUCAGGGACGAAAGCUAGGGGAGCGAAUGGGAUUAGAUACCCCAGUAGUCCUAGCU
This 729-nucleotide ribosomal RNA is filed under the name uncultured cyanobacterium. Its description in RNAcentral is "bacterial SSU rRNA". It matches the Rfam family "Bacterial small subunit ribosomal RNA", at positions 28 to 801 of the family's 1533-position model. The record is from RNAcentral. Lineage: Bacteria; Bacillati; Cyanobacteriota.